This 253-nucleotide ribosomal RNA is filed under the name uncultured bacterium. RNAcentral describes it as "partial 16S ribosomal RNA". It matches the Rfam family "Bacterial small subunit ribosomal RNA", at positions 524 to 776 of the family's 1533-position model. The record is from RNAcentral.
UACGUAGGGUCCGAGCGUUGUCCGGAAUUAUUGGGCGUAAAGGGCUCGUAGGCGGUUGGUCACGUCGGGAGUGAAAACUCAGGGCUCAACCCUGAGCGUGCUUCCGAUACGGGCCGACUAGAGGUAUGCAGGGGAGAACGGAAUUCCUGGUGUAGCGGUGAAAUGCGCAGAUAUCAGGAGGAACACCGGUGGCGAAGGCGGUUCUCUGGGCAUUACCUGACGCUGAGGAGCGAAAGUGUGGGGAGCGAACAGG